This 322-nucleotide unclassified non-coding RNA is filed under the name uncultured fungus. Its description in RNAcentral is "partial contains 18S rRNA, ITS1, 5.8S rRNA, ITS2 and 28S rRNA". The record is from RNAcentral. Lineage: Eukaryota; Fungi.
AUGGAUCAUUACCAAUUUUAUAUUAUUAGUGUUGUGCAACCUCCGUCAAAAGAGGCCGCCACAACUACUACUAUUGUAAACGUUGAACUAGAUCAUUGGUUGUGGAUUGCUUGGGAAUGGACGAAGCGACAAGCCUCUUCCGGACAGGCAAACCCCACACCGAUAACCUUUUCAUAUAUAUUACAACUAGUACAUACUACAAACAAACAAACAAAAACAAAAGCUAUAAUAGGACUUAUAUUACGAGUUGAGUGGGUAAAAGCCUCGGCUCUUAAAAAAUUAAUAACUAUUACAACUUUCAGCAAUGGAUCUCUAGGCUCUC